This 2905-nucleotide ribosomal RNA is filed under the name Salmonella enterica subsp. enterica serovar Westhampton. Its description in RNAcentral is "23S ribosomal RNA". It matches the Rfam family "Bacterial large subunit ribosomal RNA". The record is from RNAcentral. Lineage: Bacteria; Pseudomonadati; Pseudomonadota; Gammaproteobacteria; Enterobacterales; Enterobacteriaceae.
GGUUAAGCGACUAAGCGUACACGGUGGAUGCCCUGGCAGUCAGAGGCGAUGAAGGACGUGCUAAUCUGCGAUAAGCGCCGGUAAGGUGAUAUGAACCGUUAUAACCGGCGAUUUCCGAAUGGGGAAACCCAGUGUGAUUCGUCACACUAUCAUUAACUGAAUCCAUAGGUUAAUGAGGCGAACCGGGGGAACUGAAACAUCUAAGUACCCCGAGGAAAAGAAAUCAACCGAGAUUCCCCCAGUAGCGGCGAGCGAACGGGGAGGAGCCCAGAGCCUGAAUCAGCAUGUGUGUUAGUGGAAGCGUCUGGAAAGGCGCGCGAUACAGGGUGACAGCCCCGUACACAAAAGCGCAUGUGCUGUGAGCUCGAUGAGUAGGGCGGGACACGUGGUAUCCUGUCUGAAUAUGGGGGGACCAUCCUCCAAGGCUAAAUACUCCUGACUGACCGAUAGUGAACCAGUACCGUGAGGGAAAGGCGAAAAGAACCCCGGCGAGGGGAGUGAAAAAGAACCUGAAACCGUGUACGUACAAGCAGUGGGAGCACAGGUUUACCUGUGUGACUGCGUACCUUUUGUAUAAUGGGUCAGCGACUUAUAUUCUGUAGCAAGGUUAACCGAAUAGGGGAGCCGGAGGGAAACCGAGUCUUAAUUGGGCGUUAAGUUGCAGGGUAUAGACCCGAAACCCGGUGAUCUAGCCAUGGGCAGGUUGAAGGUUGGGUAACACUAACUGGAGGACCGAACCGACUAAUGUUGAAAAAUUAGCGGAUGACCUGUGGCUGGGGGUGAAAGGCCAAUCAAACCGGGAGAUAGCUGGUUCUCCCCGAAAGCUAUUUAGGUAGCGCCUCGUGAAUUCAUCUCCGGGGGUAGAGCACUGUUUCGGCUAGGGGGCCAUCCCGGCUUACCAACCCGAUGCAAACUGCGAAUACCGGAGAAUGUUAUCACGGGAGACACACGGCGGGUGCUAACGUCCGUCGUGAAGAGGGAAACAACCCAGACCGCCAGCUAAGGUCCCAAAGUCAUGGUUAAGUGGGAAACGAUGUGGGAAGGCCCAGACAGCCAGGAUGUUGGCUUAGAAGCAGCCAUCAUUUAAAGAAAGCGUAAUAGCUCACUGGUCGAGUCGGCCUGCGCGGAAGAUGUAACGGGGCUAAACCAUGCACCGAAGCUGCGGCAGCGACACUGUGUGUUGUUGGGUAGGGGAGCGUUCUGUAAGCCUGUGAAGGUGGCCUGUGAGGGUUGCUGGAGGUAUCAGAAGUGCGAAUGCUGACAUAAGUAACGAUAAAGCGGGUGAAAAGCCCGCUCGCCGGAAGACCAAGGGUUCCUGUCCAACGUUAAUCGGGGCAGGGUGAGUCGACCCCUAAGGCGAGGCCGAAAGGCGUAGUCGAUGGGAAACGGGUUAAUAUUCCCGUACUUGGUGUUACUGCGAAGGGGGGACGGAGAAGGCUAUGUUGGCCGGGCGACGGUUGUCCCGGUUUAAGCGUGUAGGCUGGUUUUCCAGGCAAAUCCGGAAAAUCAAGGCUGAGGCGUGAUGACGAGGCACUACGGUGCUGAAGCAACAAAUGCCCUGCUUCCAGGAAAAGCCUCUAAGCAUCAGGUAACAUCAAAUCGUACCCCAAACCGACACAGGUGGUCAGGUAGAGAAUACCAAGGCGCUUGAGAGAACUCGGGUGAAGGAACUAGGCAAAAUGGUGCCGUAACUUCGGGAGAAGGCACGCUGACACGUAGGUGAAGUGAUUUACUCAUGGAGCUGAAGUCAGUCGAAGAUACCAGCUGGCUGCAACUGUUUAUUAAAAACACAGCACUGUGCAAACACGAAAGUGGACGUAUACGGUGUGACGCCUGCCCGGUGCCGGAAGGUUAAUUGAUGGGGUCAGCGCAAGCGAAGCUCCUGAUCGAAGCCCCGGUAAACGGCGGCCGUAACUAUAACGGUCCUAAGGUAGCGAAAUUCCUUGUCGGGUAAGUUCCGACCUGCACGAAUGGCGUAAUGAUGGCCAGGCUGUCUCCACCCGAGACUCAGUGAAAUUGAACUCGCUGUGAAGAUGCAGUGUACCCGCGGCAAGACGGAAAGACCCCGUGAACCUUUACUAUAGCUUGACACUGAACAUUGAGCCUUGAUGUGUAGGAUAGGUGGGAGGCUUUGAAGUGUGGACGCCAGUCUGCAUGGAGCCGACCUUGAAAUACCACCCUUUAAUGUUUGAUGUUCUAACGUGGACCCGUAAUCCGGGUUGCGGACAGUGUCUGGUGGGUAGUUUGACUGGGGCGGUCUCCUCCUAAAGAGUAACGGAGGAGCACGAAGGUUGGCUAAUCCUGGUCGGACAUCAGGAGGUUAGUGCAAUGGCAUAAGCCAGCUUGACUGCGAGCGUGACGGCGCGAGCAGGUGCGAAAGCAGGUCAUAGUGAUCCGGUGGUUCUGAAUGGAAGGGCCAUCGCUCAACGGAUAAAAGGUACUCCGGGGAUAACAGGCUGAUACCGCCCAAGAGUUCAUAUCGACGGCGGUGUUUGGCACCUCGAUGUCGGCUCAUCACAUCCUGGGGCUGAAGUAGGUCCCAAGGGUAUGGCUGUUCGCCAUUUAAAGUGGUACGCGAGCUGGGUUUAGAACGUCGUGAGACAGUUCGGUCCCUAUCUGCCGUGGGCGCUGGAGAACUGAGGGGGGCUGCUCCUAGUACGAGAGGACCGGAGUGGACGCAUCACUGGUGUUCGGGUUGUCAUGCCAAUGGCACUGCCCGGUAGCUAAAUGCGGAAGAGAUAAGUGCUGAAAGCAUCUAAGCACGAAACUUGCCCCGAGAUGAGUUCUCCCUGAGACUUAGAGUCUCCUGAAGGAACGUUGAAGACGACGACGUUGAUAGGCCGGGUGUGUAAGCGCAGCGAUGCGUUGAGCUAACCGGUACUAAUGAACCGUGAGGCUUAACCUU